CAAACUAAUCCAUGCCACCAGGAAAUCUUAUACAGGAUGGCACCUAAGGCACUUUGCUGAGAAGAAUUCUGAGUUCCUGUUUGAUGUCAACAGAAAGAAAUGCUAUAAUCAAUGUGUAGUGACAGCCAUACUAGUGACAAUAAGACCAGGCUCAAGACCAGGGAAGAGGGCAAAAAAGAAGCAGAGAGACCAUUUAAGAUACUAUAAUUCAAGUGAGAAAAGCUGGGGGAAUAGACCAAGGCCCAUGGAUCAAGAUGAGGACACUAGAAAGAGCAAGAAGAUGUCUGUUUUGAAAAUUAGCCCGAUAAGAUUUGUCAAUGGCUCAGCUUUCAAAUAAAGAUUUGAAUUAAGCCUUGGUAUGAAAAAAUAAACUGUUG
RNAcentral lists this long non-coding RNA (377 nucleotides) under Pan troglodytes (chimpanzee). RNAcentral's name for it is "long non-coding RNA NONPTRT012456". The record is from RNAcentral. Lineage: Eukaryota; Metazoa; Chordata; Mammalia; Primates; Hominidae.